RNAcentral lists this ribosomal RNA (867 nucleotides) under uncultured Fusobacteriota bacterium. Its description in RNAcentral is "bacterial SSU rRNA". It matches the Rfam family "Bacterial small subunit ribosomal RNA", at positions 1 to 883 of the family's 1533-position model. Lineage: Bacteria; Fusobacteriati; Fusobacteriota. The record is from RNAcentral.
CCGCGGGAUUAGAGUUUGAUCCUGGCUCAGGAUGAACGCUGACAGAAUGCUUAACACAUGCAAGUCUUUGGCGAAGCUGUGCUUGCACAGCCUAGCCAAGGCGGACGGGUGAGUAACGCGUAAGGGACUUGCCCUGCAGUCAGGGAUAACAGACGGAAACGACUGAUAAAACCUGGUAAAGUCAGGCGGACUCAUGUCCAGCCUGAUGAAAAGGAAUGCUGCAGGAGAGCCUUGCGUCCUAUUAGCUUGUUGGUGGGGUAACGGCCCACCAAGGCGAUGAUAGGUAGCCGGCCUGAGAGGGUGGACGGCCACAAGGGGACUGAGAUACGGCCCUUACUCCUACGGGAGGCAGCAGUGGGGAAUAUUGGACAAUGGGGGCAACCCUGAUCCAGCAAUUCUGUGUGCACGAUGAAGGUCUUCGGAUUGUAAAGUGCUUUCAGCAGGGAAGAAAAAAAUGACGGUACCUGCAGAAGAAGCGACGGCUAAAUACGUGCCAGCAGCCGCGGUAAUACGUAUGUCGCGAGCGUUAUCCGGAAUUAUUGGGCAUAAAGGGCAUCUAGGCGGCCCUGUAAGUCUAGGGUGAAAACCUGCGGCUCAACCGCAGGCCUGCCCCGGAAACUACAGGGCUAGAGUGCUGGAGAGGUGGACGGAACUGCACGAGUAGAGGUGAAAUUCGUAGAUAUGUGCAGGAAUGCCGAUGAUGAAGAUAGUUCACUGGACGGCAACUGACGCUGAAGUGCGAAAGCUAGGGGAGCAAACAGGAUUAGAUACCCUGGUAGUCCUAGCUGUAAACGAUGAUUACUGGGUGUGGGCAUGAAGAGUGUCCGUGCCGAAGCUAAUGCGAUAAGUAAUCCGCCUGGGGAGUAC